RNAcentral lists this ribosomal RNA (691 nucleotides) under uncultured bacterium. RNAcentral describes it as "bacterial SSU rRNA". It matches the Rfam family "Bacterial small subunit ribosomal RNA", at positions 32 to 715 of the family's 1533-position model. The record is from RNAcentral.
AACGCUAGCUACAGGCUUAACACAUGCAAGUCGAGGGGCAGCAUUGGAGUAGCAAUACUUCAGAUGGCGACCGGCGCACGGGUGAGUAACACGUAUCCAACCUGCCGCUUACUCGGGGAUAGCCUUUCGAAAGAAAGAUUAAUACCCGAUGGUAUAAAGAGUUCGCAUGUUCUCUUUAUUAAAGAAUUUCGGUAAGCGAUGGGGAUGCGUUCCAUUAGAUAGUUGGCGGGGUAACGGCCCACCAAGUCUGCGAUGGAUAGGGGUUCUGAGAGGAAGGUCCCCCACAUUGGAACUGAGACACGGUCCAAACUCCUACGGGAGGCAGCAGUGAGGAAUAUUGGUCAAUGGACGAGAGUCUGAACCAGCCAAGUAGCGUGAAGGAUGACUGCCCUAUGGGUUGUAAACUUCUUUUAUAAGGGAAUAAAGUGAGGGACGUGUCCCUUUUUGUAUGUACCGUAUGAAUAAGGAUCGGCUAACUCCGUGCCAGCAGCCGCGGUAAUACGGAGGAUCCGAGCGUUAUCCGGAUUUAUUGGGUUUAAAGGGAGCGUAGGCGGGUUGUUAAGUCAGUUGUGAAAGUUUGCGGCUCAACCGUAAAAUUGCAGUUGAUACUGGCGACCUUGAGUGCAACAGAGGUAGGCGGAAUUCGUGGUGUAGCGGUGAAAUGCUUAGAUAUCACGAAGAACUCCGAUUG